CCUACGGGAGGCAGCAGUGGGGAAUAUUGCACAAUGGGGGAAACCCUGAUGCAGCGACGCCGCGUGAGCGAUGAAGUAUUUCCGUAUGUAAAACCCUAUCAGCAGGGAAGCAAAUGACGGGACCCGUCCAACAAGCGCAGGGUAAAGAUGCGUCAGAACCCGCGGCACCAAGCAGGGGGCAAGCGUUAUCCGGAUGUACCGGGUGUAAAGGGAGCGUAGACGGUCCGGCAAGCCAGAUGUGAAAGCCCGGGGCUCAACCCGGGGACUGCAGUUGGAACCGUGAGGCUCGAGUGUCGGAGAGGGAGGCGGAAUGCGUGGUGUAGCGGUGAAAUGCGUAGAUAUUAGGAGGAACACCAGUGGCGAAGGCGGCCUACUGGACGGUGACUGACGCUGAGGCACGAAAGCGUGGGGAGCAAACAGGAUUAGAUACCCCAGUAGUC
Molecule: ribosomal RNA, 440 nt
Filed under: uncultured bacterium
Lineage: Bacteria
Description: partial 16S ribosomal RNA
Rfam family: Bacterial small subunit ribosomal RNA
Source: RNAcentral